This 357-nucleotide long non-coding RNA is filed under the name Carica papaya (papaya). RNAcentral's name for it is "long non-coding RNA (CPAP_LNC015634)". The record is from RNAcentral. Lineage: Eukaryota; Viridiplantae; Streptophyta; Magnoliopsida; Brassicales; Caricaceae.
UGAAUGAGGAAUUUUUUCUCUAUUUUUCACGCUGCUGUCGUGUCACAUCAAAUCGAUUAUCUUUCACUCAACUCUUUCUCUCUUCACCAAAUUUUGCCACUUGGCACAAAUUUAACAGUCCCUAUUUUCUAUAAAUAGGGACCCUUUCUUCCAUUUCCUUACCACUUCCAUUCCAUUCUUCUAUCUUCCAAGAGUUUAGAGAGAGAGGGAAUGAUCUAGAGGGAGAAUGAGAAAAAAAAGAACGGUGUAGGAAAACUUUGAGGUUUCGGUAAGAAAUUUAGUAUUUCUUUAAAUAUCUUAAGGAGUAUUUCUAGAAAAUUUUAUUAUGAAGUCUGUGUUUUGUAUUUUGCAUGUUUU